GUAAAAAAAUUUUUUAAAAAAAUUGAAAAUGGCAUACAAAGAUGCUGUUGUUGGCGUACAGCAAUAUCCUCAGCCCAUCUCAGAGCUGCCUACCACAAUUGCUUCAACAGAUGGUAUUCAGAGAAGUUCGUGAAGGGUCAAUGGAAGAAAGACGAAUGUGUUUCUAAGUGGCAAAAAUACAGAGCUUGCCUUGCUUUACCUUCCUUCAUUUUGCUCCCUUUUCUUCAAUUAAUUAUUUAAAAUUUUUUUAUUCCAUUCUUACAUAAUCGACUAUUGCUCACAAGAACAUUUGGAUGAUAAGCAGGGUUGGAUCUUUUUUCCUCUCUUCAUUGUGGUAAGAUUCAUAGGGUUGUGUGUUUGAAAUCUGAACAUUUGGUUAAAAUGGUUUUGCACUGGUUUGUGAGUGCUCUGUUUCAUUUGCAAGCAGCCUUUUGUUGAUGUUGUUGUAACCAAGCGCAAGCACUAUUUCUGUGAGCAUUGCGCAUUAAAGGGACAAAGUGGCCAAGUUUAAGCUACUUUUGCAAUUUGUUGAUGUGCAAUCUUAUAACAUUGGUAGAAGGGAAUGGAGGUUGUUGAAUGCCAAAUGAUGAGAGUUACUUUCUGUGCUGCAUAGUUAUCCAAGGUUGUUGGUUUCCAAUGGCUGAUUUGUUCACUUGUGUAAGAUCAUUUGUGACCUUGAGAAGUAAAUGAUUAUACAUGUAAAUCUUUGAUUGUAAUAUUAUUCUAGAGAAAUCUAAUUGAAUUAUAGUAAGCAAUCAUUUUCUAUAAGAAUGAUGUGUUUUUUCUCUCAA
Quercus robur (English oak) is the source of this 791-nucleotide long non-coding RNA. RefSeq lists it as uncharacterized. Lineage: Eukaryota; Viridiplantae; Streptophyta; Magnoliopsida; Fagales; Fagaceae. The transcript has 3 exons. The record is from RefSeq and is a predicted model, not a curated record.